Molecule: ribosomal RNA, 228 nt
Filed under: Triticum aestivum (bread wheat)
Lineage: Eukaryota; Viridiplantae; Streptophyta; Magnoliopsida; Poales; Poaceae
Description: partial small subunit ribosomal RNA
Source: RNAcentral
AUGAAUGGUUGAAUUCUUACCGAAGGUAACCUUAUUAAAAGGAAUUGGCAUGGAAGUAUGCAAUGUGUGUUCUGUCAUCAUGACAAAACAAUAAAACACUUGUUUUUCCAAUGCAAAUUGGCUCGUUCUCUAUGGUCAUUCAUCCAAGUAGUUUCUGGCUUGUAUUCUCUACGCAGUGUUCCUAAUAUAUUUGGCAACUGGUUAUAUAGGAUUGAUUACACGUUUUGA